GUUUGGUAGCAAAUUCAUUAGCUCACUCAGAUGCAUCCUGUAUAUAGUAAACAUUCUUGUGUUAUAAGUAACCAUCAAACAAAAUUUCUUUCCUCCAGGCACAAGACCGUAUAUGCCUCCAGAAUAUUAUGACAGGGGUUUUUACCAUGCAAAGUCCGCAACAGUGGGGGUGCUUCUGUUCGUAAUGCUGCAUGGACGUUUUCCACAAGCCAUUAACUUGAGCAAUGACCGGUCUGUUUUUGCUGUGUCACAAGAAUGCAUCCAUUUUUUUUGUCGGCUUGUCUGCAGAGUCAUCCAGAGCACAGGAUUCUUCUGGAGCAGAUGGCUUAUCGUGACUGGUUGAUGUUGGUUUUUCCUAAACACCCACCCCGUAAAUGCAUCGAACCAGCAUUCCAAUAAUCGAUGAAAGUCACUGCAUAAGACAUGGAGAAAAGCAGAAAACGGCCACCCAGUGGUUUUCUCUCUUCAGUCAGCAUUAUAUCUGGCAGGCUGACAUGAGUGGCCUUUCCAUCCCUUAGAUUUUCCUGUAUCUUCAGAAUCCGCUACAGUCCCAAAAGUUCCUGUCAAUUCUAGAGCCCCUUGUCAGGUUCCUAUCAUUGCUACAGGUUCUCCACCCAACUGAUUCCUCUCAUUGCUGACCCAGAGGUUCUUGCCAUGGUUGUCAUGGAUGCAAAGGUUCAUGUCAUGCCAGUGCCCAAGACCAGUCACACAUAUCUUGUCUCAGCCUCCCCAAUCCCAGAGGUUCCUUUCCUGGCUGCUACAGAGGUUCCUGAAGAUCCACAAUCCAUUACAGUAGCAGAGGUUCAUUUCCUGGCUUCAACAGAGGUUCCUGAAGAUCCACAAUCCAUUACAGUAGCAGAGGUUCCUGCCAUUACAGGCUCAAAAUAACUGGAGAUGGCAGAUGGGUCCAGAAAACAAUCUGCAGGCACAGAGAAUGAUUUACAAGUGCAAUAAAUAAUGUAUAAAUAAAAUAGCACAAAGUUGUAUUCUUUAACUGUGGAUAACUCUAAAUUAAAUGUCUUUAUUUCUCAUUUUGAUGCACAAGAUUUUUUUUGUGCAGUAGCUCAAAAAUUGUCCCGUAAUGUGACAUUAAUAGUCAACAAAAAUAGUUGUGUAUAUUUACCUAAUAAAAAUUCUAAUUUAUUCUUUAAGUUGGAAGCAUGUUUUUUACAAAAGUUGUA
This is a long non-coding RNA of Onychostoma macrolepis, 1181 nucleotides long. RefSeq lists it as uncharacterized. NCBI's taxonomy places the organism in Eukaryota, Metazoa, Chordata, Actinopteri, Cypriniformes, Cyprinidae. The transcript is spliced from 4 exons. The record is from RefSeq and is a predicted model, not a curated record.